CUCCAGUCUUAUAACAUCAGUGAUUUUUACAUAUUGCUGCUAUACCCCACUCUCAGUAAUAGCGCAUACCUCCCAAUAGUUCUAAAGCUUGUGAGAUGUCCUGCUUUCAGAGUCCUGUCCUUCAUCUGUUGAUAUACACCUUAUUUGUGCAGCUGGACCCCUUUUUAAGGUAAGACUGGCCAUUUUGGGCAUUGCAAAUGAUGCAAGUAGUGUCAAUGGCACUGACACUCUCAUACUAUCACUGGUGUACAUCACUGCUUGGGUUAAUGCAGAAUCCUCAG
Molecule: non-coding RNA, 281 nt
Organism: Pelobates cultripes (western spadefoot toad)
Lineage: Eukaryota; Metazoa; Chordata; Amphibia; Anura; Pelobatidae
Source: the annotation of a GenBank genome assembly